Molecule: ribosomal RNA, 435 nt
Filed under: uncultured Lachnospiraceae bacterium
Lineage: Bacteria; Bacillati; Bacillota; Clostridia; Lachnospirales; Lachnospiraceae
Description: partial 16S ribosomal RNA
Rfam family: Bacterial small subunit ribosomal RNA
Source: RNAcentral
ACGGAAGGCAGCAGUGGGGAAUAUUGCACAAUGGGGGAAACCCUGAUGCAGCGACGCCGCGUGAGUGAAGAAGUUAUUCGUAAUGUAAAGCUCUAUCAGCAGGGAAGAAAAUGACGGUACCUGACUAAGAAGCCCCGGCUAACUACGUGCCAGCAGCCGCGGUAAUACGUAUGGUGCAAGCGUUAUCCGGAUUUACUGGGUGUAAAGGGAGCGUAGGUGGUUUGGCAAGCCAGAAGUGAAAACCCGGGGCUCAACCCCGUGGAUUGCUUUUGGAACUGUUGAACUAGAGUGCAGGAGGGGUAAGCGGAAUUCCCAGUGUAGCGGUGAAAUGCUUAGAUAUUGGGAGGAACACCAGUGGCGAAGGCGGCUUACUGGACUGUAACUGACACUGAGGCUCGAAAGCGUGGGGAGCAAACAGGAUUAGAUACCCUGGUA